UCGUCGGCUUCCUUGCAGAGUCUGCAUUUUGGGUCAUCAGCUGAUUUUUCGAUCUUGGCCUUGAUUGCCUUUGUCCUGAUGUCUUGCUCCUGGGCUGCAAGGAUCAGGCCUUCUGUCUCCUUCUUCAGGGUCCCAUUCGUGAGCCAGAGCCAGGUCUUCUCCUUAUCAGCUUUUCAUUCAAUUUUGUCAAGGAACUUUCCAUGCAAUGUUUUGUUGUGCCAGCUGUCAGCUCUAGUUUGUAGUGCGGUUUUCUUGUACUGGUUUUUUGUCUGCUGUGCUUUGAGGAGUUUCUGAUUUUUGACUUCAAUCCAAGCAGGUUCUUCACUUUGCUUUACAUCUUCUGCCAGGGCAUGUUCUUCUUCUUUGACUGCUUCUUUGACUUGUAAGAGUCCUCUGCCCCUUGAUCUUCUAGGCAGAUAUAGCCGGUCAACAUCACUGCGAGGGUGCAGGGAAUGAUGAAUGGUCAUGAAUUUUCUUGUUUUUCUGUCCAAAUUGUCCAGUUCCGUCUGUGUCCAGUUUAUGAUGUCAGCAGUAUAUCUUAUGACAGGUACGGCCCAGGUGUUUAUGGCUUUGAUGGUGUUGCCUCCAUUGAGCUUGCUUUUGAGAAUUUUUCUGACCCUUUGUGUGUAUUCUUUGCUGACCACAAUUUUCACAUGUUCAUGCUUGAUGUUGUCCAGCUGUAAUAUGCCCAGAUAUUUAUAGGCCUCUGGCUGGUGACACCUUAUUGUUUGGCCAUUGGGCACAUUGAUGCCCUCACUUUCAAUUAUUUUUCCCUUCUUCAAUGCCACUGUCGAACAUUUGUCCAAACCAAACUCCAUGCUGAUAUAUCAGUGCUAAAAAUUCGGACAGUGUUAGUCAGAGACUGGAUUUCUGUUUCCGUUUUCCCAUACAGCUUCAGGUCAUCCAUGUACAUGAGAUGCAAAAUUUUGUGAAAUUUGUUAGAUGUUAGAUAGCCGAGAUUUGUUUUUUGUUAGAAUUAUUAUUAUUAUCAAUAUUAUUGUUCAACAUAAGUAUCGGCUGGAGCGGCCAUCUGUCAGGAGGGAUCGGAUGAUGUUUUCCAGCCUGGUCUGGAUGGCCCUGGAUGGAAAAUAUCCAAUAUUGAAGACAGUCAUGGAGAGUGUAGUAGAAAAGGGUCUUCUAGGAAUGAGAGAUGGAAGGAUGGGACCCCCAAAGGCCAUCUAGUCCAACCCCUUGGCCCUACGGCUCUGCUCUCCACCUCCUUCCAACCUGUUGCUAUCUGCUUUUUCCUUCCCUCCCUUCCUUUGGAGGCGGAGCCCCGAAAGCCACUCUCCAUGAUGUCACAGCCGCCUUGUCCAGAGCCGACUGGAGGAAGGUGAGCGCCGUGAAGGUAUUGGCUGCCUUUGGGGAGAAGGAAGGGGAAAGCAGACCCUCCCGGGGCUAUAAAGACACAAGGCCGGCCCAGAGCAUCCUCUGUCUGGAAGGGACACUCAGGUGAGCUCUGGACCGGCAUCCAGGCACCGGAGAAGGAGGAGACAGCCUCCUGCCUCACCUGGCCAGGACCACUUUCCUAUUGCAAAUCCCCCCAGGAAAGAAGGAAGGAAGAAAGAAGGGAAAUCGGGAAUUCACCUGGAAGGCUAGUUUUGGGGCUGGACAAACACAAUCUGAUCCCUCCCGACAGAUGGCCACCCAGCCUUCUCUGCUCGCUCUCUCUCUCUCUCUCUCUCUGUAUUACUUUUGGUUUAUUACUAAUGACAAUAAUAAUAAGUAUCGUAAGGUAGAAAAACUCUUUCGGUAUGGUUAAUAUGGUUAUCAUAAGGAAGGAAAGGUCUUUUGGGUUAUUAUUAAUAAUAAUAAUAAUAAUAAUAAUAAUAAUAAUAAUAAUAAUGGAUUAUAAUAUAAUAAUAAUAAUAAUAAUAAUAUAAUAAUAAUAUCCUAUGGAAAACUAUUGUCAGAAUGAUAUUAAAUUAAUAAAUAACAAUAAUAACAAGUAUUCUGAGGAAUAGAAACUUAAUAAUAAGUGGUGUAAGGAUGAGAAACUUUUGUUGUAAUAAUAAUAAUAAUAAUAAUAACAAUAUCCUAUGGAAAACUGUUGUGUUGUCAGAAUGACAGACUGAAUGUCAGGACUCUUACAAGUCAAACAAGCAGUCAAAGAAGAAGAACAUGCCCUGGCAGAAUAUGUAAAGCAAAGUGAAGAACCUGCUUUGAUUGAAGUCAAAAAUCAGAAACUCCUCAAAGCACAGCAGACAAAAAACCAGUACAAGAAAACUGCACUACAAACUAGAGCUGACAGCUGGCACAACAAAACAUUGCAUGGAAAGUUCCUUGACAAGAUUGACAGAAAAGCUGAUAAGGAGAAGACCUGGCUCUGGCUCACGAAUGGGACCCUGAAGAAGGAGACAGAAGGCCUGAUCCUUGCAGCCCAGGAGCAAGACAUCAGGACAAAGGCAAUUCAGGCCAAGAUCGAAAAAUCAGCUGAUGACCCAAAAUGCAGAUUCUGCAAGGAAACCGAUGAAACCAUGGAUCAUAUCCUCAGCUGCUGUAAGAAAAUCGCACAGACAGACUACAAACAGAGGCACAACUAUGUGGCCCAAAUGAUUCAUUGGAACUUAUGCCUUAAGUACCACCUCCCAGCAGGAAAGAACUGGUGGGAUCACAAACCUGCAAAAAUAUUGGAAAAUGAGCACGCAAAGAUACUGUGGGACUUCCGAAUCCAGACUGACAAUACAACACACCAGACAUCACAGUUGUGGAAAAGAAAAAGGUUUGGAUCAUUGAUGUCGCCAUCCUAGGUGACAGUCGCAUUGACGAAAAACAACAGGAAAAACUCAGCCGCUAUCAGGACCUCAAGAUUGAACUUCAAAGACUCUGGCAGAAACCAGUGCAGGUGGUCCCGGUGGUGAUGGGCACACUGGGUGCCGUGCCAAAAGAUCUCAGCCGGCAUUUGGAAACAAUAGACAUUGACAAAAUUACGAUCUGCCAACUGCAAAAGGCCACCCGACUGGGAUCUGCACGCAUCAUCCGAAAAUACAUCACACAGUCCUAGACACUUGGGAAGUGUUCAACUUGUGAUUUUGUGAUACGAAAUCCAGCAUGUCUAUCUUGUCUGCUGUGUCAUAAAUAAUAAUAAUAAUAAUAAUAAUAAUAAUAAUAAUAAUAAUAAUAUAUUAGUAAAUAUAUGGAAGAGAAACAGUUGCUCUUCCAUAUAUUUACUCCCGGUGAUAUCAUGAUGACAACCCAACAGGGUUUUUGCACCUUUGGGGCCAGGCGCCUAUCUUCUUACUCCUAAUCCGCCUUAAAUCUGACAUAACCCUGUUUAGGAUUAGAGCCUUAGUCGUGCAAAACUCCUUAGCGAAGAAUCAGUUGCGAGAGGCACUAAGCUUCCUCGCUUUGAUUUGAUUUGCCUCAAGGAGAGGGAAUGAAAGAGAGAGCUUCUACUAGGUUGGCAGAAGCUGGGGCUAACAGUGGGAGCUCACCCUUCUUCUUCCCAGAUUCGAACCACUGACCUUUCGGUCAGCAAGUCCAGCAGCUCAGCGGUUUAACCUGCUGCAACACCGGAUAAUAAUAUUAUUACUAUUAAUAAGCAUAAGGGGAAGAGAAACUGAUAUAUAACAAUAUGUAUUAUAAGUAUUAUAAGGAGGUGCUGUGUAUGGGUAAGUAUAUAUAUCUGGGCUCAUUGCAGUCUAGCGACGUAUUAAUAUUAUUUAUUUAUUUUAUUUAUUAGUGACAUUUAUAUCCCGCCCUUCUCACCCCGAAUGGGACUCAGUAUUUACCAAUUGUAUUAUUAUUAUUAUUAUUGCCGACAUUUAUAUCCCACCCUUCUCACCCCGAAGGGGACUCAGUAUUUACCUAUUGUAUUAUUAUUAUUAUUAUUAUUAUUAUUAUUAUUAUUAUUAUUAUUAUUAUUAGCGGCAUUUAUAUCCCACCCUUCUCACCCCGAAGGGGACUCAGUAUUUACCUAUUGUAUUAUUAUUAUUAUUAUUAUUAUUAUUAUUAUUAUUAGCGACAUUUAUAUCCCACCCUUCUCACCCCGAAGAGGACUCAGUAUUUACCUAUUGUAUUAUUAUUAUUAUUAUUAUUAUUAUUAUUAUUAUUAUUAGCGACAUUUAUAUCCCGCCCUUCUCACACCGAAGGGGACUCAGUAUUUACCUAUUGUAUUAUUAUUAUUAUUAUUAUUAUUAUUAUUAUUAUUAUUAGCGACAUUUAUAUCCCGCCCUUCUCACCCUGAAGGGGGACUCAGGGCGGCUUCAAGUUAUUUAUACAUACAAUAUAUUAUAUUAUUAGCAUAGCACAACAUAAGCACUAUAUAAGCUUUAUAUACAGUAGAGUCUCACUUAUCCAAGCCUCGCUUAUCCAAGCCUCUGGAUUAUCCAAGCCAUUUUUGUAGUCAAUGUUUUCAAUACAUCGUGAUAUUUUGGUGCUAAAUUUGUAAAUACCGUAAUUACUACAUAGGAUUACUGUGUAUUGAACUAGUUUUUCUGUCAAUUUUUUUGUAUCACAUGAUGUUUUGGUGCUUAAUUUGUAAUAUCAUAACCUAAUUUGAUGUUUAAUAGGCUUUUCCUUAAUCUUAUUAUCCAACAUAUUCACUUAUCCAACGUUCUGCUGGCCCGUUUAUGUUGGAUAAGUGAGAUUCUACUGUACCAAUAAAAUUACAUUAAUUGAGGCAUCAGUAGGUUAAAUGUUUUUGAAUAUUUACAUGAAACUGUAAUUUAAGAUAAAACUGUCCAACUCUGACUAAAUAAUUAUUUUAACAUUCUUCAAUGUAAAUGCUUAUGCAUCCUUUUAAUAAUAAUAGAGUAAAAUAAUACACGGACAAUGCGGUUGCUGUUGCCCGCUUUUGGUCUAAAACUAUUUAGUUGCUUGAGAUUUCCUUUUUUUUUCAUUAUUUUUUUUUUAAAAAUGUAUUUGUUAUGCAAUGCUUUUGACACGAAAUAAAUAAAUAAAUACAUGUAAUAAUAAUAAUAAUAAAUAGAGUAAAAUAAUACAGUAGAGUCUCACUUAUCCAACAUAAACGGGCCAGCAGAAAGUUGGAUAAGCGAAUAUGUUGGAUAAUAAGGAGAGAUUAAGGAAAAGCCUAUUAAACAUCAAAUUAGGUUAUGAUUUUACAAAUUACGCACCAAAACAUCAUGUUAUACAACAAAUUUGACAGAAAAAGUAGUUCAAUACGCAGUAAUGCUAUGUAGUAAUUACUGUAUUUACGAAUUUAGCACCAAAAUAUCACAAUAUAUUGAAAACAUUGACUACAAAAAUGCGUUGGAUAAUCCAGAACGUUGGAUAAGCGAGUGUUGGAUAAGUGAGACUCUACUGUACAUGUAAUAAUAAAUAGAAUAAAAUAAUAAAUGCAAUAAUAAUAAUAUCAGAGUGAAAUAAUAAAUGUAUUAUUAAUAAUAAUAAUAGAGUAAAAUAAAUAUAAUAGUAGCAACAAUAAUAGAGAAAAAUAAUAAAUGUAAUAAUACCAAUAAUAAUAGAGAAAAAUAAGAAAUGUACCAUAUAUUCUCGAGUAUAAGCCAACCAGGACCCUCACCCGAGUAUAAGCCGAGGGGGGCUUUUUCAGUCUUAAAAAAAAGGCUGAAAAACUAGGCUUAUACUCGAGUAUAUACAGUAGGCGGCUCGGCUUAUAUUUGGGUCGGCUUAUACUCAAGUAUAUAUGGUAAGCACUAUAUAAGCUUUAUAUAUUAUUAUAUUGUACUAUACGACUAUAUUGCAAUAUUAUUAGUAAUAUAUACAUUUAGAUCAGGGGUCCCCAAACUAAGGCCCGGGGGCCGGAUGCAGCCCUCCAAGGUAAUUUACCUGGCCCUCACCCUCAUUUGUAAUAUAAUAUUUUCAUAUCAGUUUUAAUAAUAUAAUAUAUUGUAUAUAUAUAUAAUAUUGAUAAUAAUAUUAUCAUUUUAUACAAUACAAUACUAACAAUAAUAUCAUAUAAUAAUAUUAAUUAUAUGUUAUAUAUUACAUAUAAUAUUACAGUAUAGUGGUAUAGUUCAAUAUAGUAUAAUGCUAAUAUUGUGCUAUGCUAAUAAUAUAAUAUAUUGUAUGUACAUACAGCUGCUCUGAGUUCCCUUCGGGGUGAGAAGGGUGGGAUAUAAAUGUAGUAAAUAAAUGUAGUAAAUGAAUAAAUAAAUAAUUUUGGACUUAGGCUCGCCCAAAGUCUGAAAUGACUUGAAGACACACAACAACAACAACAAUUAACCUGUUAUGGUUGAGCCUUAUGGCUCCGAUACUGGGAGACGUGGUCGUAAGACUCCUCGGGAGUCAGACUCUCUUGAGGAGCGCGAAAGGAAACGGCUGCGGGACUUAUUUGCAGAACCAACAGACGAAGACUCCUUUGAGGGUUUUACCGAGGGAAUGGAGGAAGAGAUGGUUAGUUCUGAGGAGGAUGACAUGGAAUGGACUCGUGUGAGGGAGGAUUUGGGUGUCACCGGCAAUGAUAGUGUGGGAGGCGACUGGCGGGUUGCAGGAUCGGACCCGUGGACGAGUUGGAGGGAUGGAACGGGAUCCACAGCUGGGGAUGCUGUGGGGCGUAGUCAAAGGUGUUUUAGCUCUGAUGAGGAGGAUGAUGAUGAGGCACCUGGAAUUAGGGUAACAGCUGACAGCGAUGAGGAGUUGUGAACUGGCAUAAAAUGGGGUUUAGAAUCCAGGGCUAAUUGCGUUGGGCAAGGUAAUCUGGAUGAACGCUUGGGCUCUUGUUGGGAACUUCCUGAAGACGGGUGUGAUUCGUUUGCUGAAUACGUAAGUUACCAAGGACACUGGGCAUAGACGGCGGGAGGAAAUGUGUGGGCUUUUCCUGUGCAACUUGUGUUUAAUCUUGAUAGCUUGGACCUCCGUCGUCUUUUUGACGGACAUUAAUUGCCUACUCUGGAAUGACGCUGGACUGACUGACUGACUACGACCUCGGACUAUCCCUUCUGUGGCUAUCGGUGGAAUUUGUGAACUAAAGACGUCUGUACCUGGCUUUCGACCUCGGACCGGAUUGGGACCCUGCUGAUCGUUGCAACCCUGAUUGAUGUGCCUGGAUCCGGAUUUCGUUCGUUGCACGGAGGAGUAACAACCUUAGUUACUCAUUUGUAGCUUUGGAGUAGCAGAGAGGAAUCUGCUGCCAGCUAUUUAUGUUUCAUUGAAUCUUUGUUUAUCAACUUUUGCUUGUUUAAAUUGCCAGGCUGAAGUAAGCAUUUUUGGUUUAACCCGGAUUAAACUCCUGUUUAAUCUGGUUUAUCUUUUGAACCGCUUUUAGUACCAGCGGAGUCUUUUUUGUAUCUUUUCACACUGAAGGCAAGUGUUUGCCUAGUCCUUUGUUUCUUACGGGCAUUUUUAGUUCUGUAACUUUAAUAAACUGUGUUGAACUUUA
Anolis carolinensis (green anole) is the source of this 7300-nucleotide long non-coding RNA. RefSeq lists it as uncharacterized. NCBI's taxonomy places the organism in Eukaryota, Metazoa, Chordata, Lepidosauria, Squamata, Anolidae. The record is from RefSeq and is a predicted model, not a curated record. The transcript is spliced from 2 exons.